CGCCCCUCUUGCGCUGGAGCUGCCGCAGCGCCCCUGCCGGCGGAGCUGGCGCAGACCGAGGGACCCACCGCGCAGUGCUCAGAACCUGGGCUUUGGUUUUGACUGUUUACCCUUGAGCUGAAAUGCGGCAGUCAAGCUCCAUGUCUAUUGGUAGCGAGUGAUUCCUUGUUAAAGACAGGAGAAAGGAUUUCUCUAUGAUAAAUACAGGACUUACUGAAAAUUGAACUAGUCAAAGCCGGGUGUGGCAGUGCGCACCUGCAAUCCCACCACUCCAGGAGGCUGAGGCAGGAGGACCACAAGCGUGAAGCCCGGCUUUCAUUGGGAAACUUCGCGACUUACUGAGACCCGCUCUCGGAUUUCUUUAAAAAGGCAAAAGGGUGGGGGAUGUAGCUCAGUGCAAAGGGUCUGGGUUCAAACCCGCUACCAAAGCAAGAGACUUCAUCUUCCCAGGAAGAGGGAGACAAACUUCAUCUUGCAUCUCUGCCAAGUGUUAGGUCAUCUCGGUGCUCAGCGAGGCUGUGGCGCCGGAGUCGGGUUGCUGGGUCUCCCUGGAGAAUCUUCCGGGCCCGGGUCGGCGCAGGCUAACUGGGAAGCCAGCCCCGCGGCCCCGAGGCCACCACCACCCUGCUGUGGACACGGGACUGUUCAGCUCAGCGGAGUGGGAUCUCGCAGGAGCAUUCGGGAGCCAUGGGCGGGCUAACUGGAAGUACAGUGGACCCUUGACUUAGGGACGUGAUCAGUUCCGGAGGGCUGGUUGUAACUCAAGUUGGUGGCUAGGGUCAGUAGUAUCAAGCUCGGCAUGAAUUACCAAGCCCUGAAAGUGAGACUAUAAUGGAAACUGCAAUUGAAGCACGCAGCGACAGCACUGCGGAUGGAAAGCUAUGAUACAGCCAUGGUCACCCCUCAUUCCCAGGACAGUGUGGCACAGUGGCUGAUGCUGGUGCCGAAGUCAGAGGAUCAGAGCUUCAGGCUGGGACAUAUCUGGAUCCUGCUGCAGCAAAUAUUCACAGUAUUUCUACAGACAGCCAGGACAGAGCUUUGAACAGGCGGUUCACCGAAUCCAGCAGUGUGCUGGUCCUGGCUUACCAACCAGCUGCUUGGGAAAGAGCAGAAGUCCUCAGUUACAGAACCUGGUGAGGAGAACAUGCAGGAGGCACCACCAAGUGGCAGAGGCAGGCGGCUUGCAAGACACACGGCUUUCAUCCUGAGAACAACGGAACUACUGAAGGAACUUAGCGAAGAAGGGAUGGGCAGGGGUGACAGUGGGACUUAUCCAUGUGGCUUUUGGCUUAGAGACGCAGGACAGGUGGCAGCUCUGUCCUGAAAUGGGAGCAGGAGACGCAGACUAAGCUGCAAUUGGGAGUAGGCACUGAGGGGAGGGCCGAGGCUCAGGGGUUUGGAUUCAACUCCUCAGUGUAAAGUUGACAACCGGUGAGGUUGUACAGGAGACAGGGACACAGAGGAGCUCAGACUGUGAAAGGACAGGCAGAGAAAAGCCCUGGCCCGCCCCCAAAAUGGUCAGAGAGGUAGCUGGAAAAUCAGAAAUAGACGACAUAUUAAAACUUGUAGCAGGCUGGGGAUGUAGCCUGGUGGUAAAGCAUGCAUGAAGCCCUGGAUUACACACACACACACACACACACACACACACACAUAACUUGCUCACUGCUCCCACACAUGCUCAUUGCUUGGGUCCUGUUAUUAGAAAUAAGUUUACUUAUG
Molecule: long non-coding RNA, 1719 nt
Filed under: Heterocephalus glaber (naked mole-rat)
Lineage: Eukaryota; Metazoa; Chordata; Mammalia; Rodentia; Bathyergidae
Description: lncRNA (ENSHGLG00000032346.1)
Source: RNAcentral